AUGAGAAGGGCGUCCCGCCCUAUGGGGUCGACCCCCCGGCGCGAGCGAUCGCGCGGGGGGGGUCCCCCGCAUCUCCAACCCUUUGUCGAACGUACUCGUUGCCUCGGGGGCCUCACCGCCCCCGACGGACACACCACAAACACUGCAUCCCUGCGUCGGAGUAUUGAAACAAAUCAAUCA
This 180-nucleotide unclassified non-coding RNA is filed under the name uncultured Dothideomycetes. RNAcentral's name for it is "sequence contains ITS1". Lineage: Eukaryota; Fungi; Ascomycota; Dothideomycetes. The record is from RNAcentral.